Molecule: ribosomal RNA, 510 nt
Filed under: uncultured bacterium
Lineage: Bacteria
Description: bacterial SSU rRNA
Rfam family: Bacterial small subunit ribosomal RNA
Source: RNAcentral
AUGGCUCAGGAUGAACGCUAGCUACAGGCUUAACACAUGCAAGUCGAGGGGCAGCAUUGGGAUAGCUUGCUAUUCAGAUGGCGACCGGCGCACGGGUGAGUAACGCGUAUCCAACCUUCCUGCCAGUAGGGAACAGCCCGGCGAAAGUCGGAUUAAUGCCCUAUGUUCUUCAAUGCGGACAUCUAAGUUGAAGGAAAGAUUCAUCGCUGGCAGAUGGGGAUGCGUCCGAUUAGCUUGCCGGCGGGGUAACGGCCCACCGGGGCGACGAUCGGUAGGGGUUCUGAGAGGAAGGUCCCCCACACUGGUACUGAGACACGGACCAGACUCCUACGGGAGGCAGCAGUGAGGAAUAUUGGUCAAUGGGCGUAAGCCUGAACCAGCCAAGUAGCGUGCCAGGAUGACGGCCCUACGGGUUGUAAACUGCUUUUAUGCGGGGAUAAAGUGCGGCACGUGUGCCGCUUUGCAGGUACCGCAUGAAUAAGGACCGGCUAAUUCCGUGCCAGCCGCCGC